AUACGGAGGGUGCAAGCGUUAAUCGGAAUUACUGGGCGUAAAGCGUACGUAGGCGGUCCGUUAAGUUAGACGUGAAAGCCCCGGGCUUAACCUGGGAACUGCAUUUAAAACUGGCGGACUAGAGUUGAGUAGAGGGGAGUGGAAUUUCAGGUGUAGCGGUGAAAUGCGUAGAGAUCUGAAGGAACACCAGUGGCGAAGGCGACUCCCUGGACUCGAACUGACGCUGAGGUACGAAAGCGUGGGUAGCAAACGGGAUUAGAUAACCGAGUAGUCC
This 274-nucleotide ribosomal RNA is filed under the name uncultured bacterium. Its description in RNAcentral is "partial 16S ribosomal RNA". It matches the Rfam family "Bacterial small subunit ribosomal RNA", at positions 523 to 796 of the family's 1533-position model. The record is from RNAcentral.